ACGUGAUCUGAGUUCAGACCGGAGUAAUCCAGGUCAGUUUCUAUCUAUAAAGAGCUUAUUCUAGUACGAAAGGACCGAAAAAGCAUGGCCUAUACUUUAUGCAAGCCAUCCUAAGUAACUUAUGAUUUAAACUCAAUAAGUAACUUAUCUUAAUCUCACCUCAAGAAAAGAGA
RNAcentral lists this ribosomal RNA (173 nucleotides) under Scinax pixinguinha. RNAcentral describes it as "partial 16S large subunit ribosomal RNA". The record is from RNAcentral. Lineage: Eukaryota; Metazoa; Chordata; Amphibia; Anura; Hylidae.